UACUGUCGGAUAGGAAUAAAAGUUGGGUUGCCCAACUGGGAAUGUACUAUCAAAGGAAGGAUCGGCUAACUACGUGCCAGCAGCCGCGGUAAUACGUAGGAUCCGAGCGUUGUCCGGAUUUACUGGGUAUAAAGGGUGCGUAGGCGGGUUUGUGCUUCAGAGGUUAAAGACCGCAGCUCAACUGCGGGAGUGCCUUUGAUAAGGCAAAUCUUGGAUAUGAGAGGGGUAGGUAGAAUUCCUGGU
This 243-nucleotide ribosomal RNA is filed under the name uncultured bacterium. RNAcentral's name for it is "partial 16S ribosomal RNA". It matches the Rfam family "Bacterial small subunit ribosomal RNA", at positions 431 to 674 of the family's 1533-position model. The record is from RNAcentral.